Molecule: ribosomal RNA, 254 nt
Filed under: uncultured bacterium
Lineage: Bacteria
Description: partial 16S ribosomal RNA
Rfam family: Bacterial small subunit ribosomal RNA
Source: RNAcentral
CACGUAGGGUGCGAGCGUUGUCCGGAAUUAUUGGGCGUAAAGAGCUCGUAGGCGGUGUGUCGCGUCGGCCGUGAAAACCUGCAGCUUAACUGUGGGCUUGCGGUCGAUACGGGCAUCACUGGAGUUCGGCAGGGGAGACUGGAAUUCCUGGUGUAGCGGUGAAAUGCGUAGAUAUCUGGAGGAACACCGGUGGCGAAGGCGGCAUCCUGGACCGGUAUUGACGCUGAGGCGCGAAAGCCAGGGGAGCAAACGGG